Molecule: ribosomal RNA, 499 nt
Filed under: uncultured Lachnospiraceae bacterium
Lineage: Bacteria; Bacillati; Bacillota; Clostridia; Lachnospirales; Lachnospiraceae
Description: partial 16S ribosomal RNA
Source: RNAcentral
CACGUAGUUAGCCGGGGCUUCUUGUCCAGGUACUGUCAUUUUCUUCCCUGCUGACAGGGCUUUACGCACCGGAGUGCUUCUUCACCCACGCGGCAUUGCUGCAUCAGGGUUCCCCCCAUUGUGCAAUAUUCCCCACUGCUGCCUCCCGCAGGAGUCUGGGCCGUGUCUCAGUCCCAAUGUGGCCGUCCACUCCCUCAAGCCGGCUACUGAUCGUUGUCUUGGUAGGCCGUUACCCUGCCAACUAACUAAUCAGACGCGGGCCCAUCCUGUACCACCGUGGUUUUCCCUGCUGUGCCAUGCGGCACAGCAGGCUUAUGCGGUAUUAGCAGCCAUUUCUGGCUGUUGUCCCCCGGUACAGGGCAGGUUGCCCACGCGUUACUCACCCGUCCGCCACUAGGUUUAUAUAUCUUCCCUCCGGAGAGUUCUGUUGUAUAACCCCGUUGACUUGCAUGUGUUAGGCAUGCCGCCAGCGUUCAUCCUGGACGCCAGGAUCAAACUU